This 364-nucleotide ribosomal RNA is filed under the name uncultured bacterium. RNAcentral describes it as "bacterial SSU rRNA". It matches the Rfam family "Bacterial small subunit ribosomal RNA", at positions 158 to 507 of the family's 1533-position model. The record is from RNAcentral.
AGAUGCUAAUACCGCAAUAAAACCUAACACCGCAUGGUGUAGGGUUGAAAGAUGGUUUCGGCUAUCACUUUAGGAUGGACCCGCGGUGCAUUAGUUAGUUGGUGAGGUAAAGGCUCGCCAAGACCGUGAUGCAUAGCCGACCUGAGAGGGUAAUCGGCCACACUGGGACUGAGACACGGCCCAGACUCCUACGGGAGGCAGCAGUAGGGAACCUUCCACAAUGGACGAAAGUCUGAUGGAGCAACGCCGCGUGAGUGAAGAAGGUUUUCGGAUCGUAAAACUCUGUUGUUGGAGAAGAAUGUAUCUGAUAGUAACUGAUCAGGUAGUGACGGUAUCCAACCAGAAAGCCACGGCUAACUACGUG